Long non-coding RNA from Panicum virgatum (switchgrass), 976 nucleotides. RefSeq lists it as uncharacterized. Lineage: Eukaryota; Viridiplantae; Streptophyta; Magnoliopsida; Poales; Poaceae. The record is from RefSeq and is a predicted model, not a curated record. The transcript is spliced from 2 exons.
CUAAUCCAUUCCUUUAUCUACUGCUUCAACAGGCGCGCGCAGGAAGCGGCUGCAAAUGGAUGUCCUGAAUGUGAGCAUCGUCUGGGCCGCAUGCCGCGAUCAUCAUCAAGCGCCGGACCAUCAACACGGACAUCAACAAGGCGGUCAACAGGUCAAAUCUCCGGGACAUCAACAAUGUCGCCAUGUCAACGGGACUAUCAAAUGUCGGAAGACAACAGGCCAUUAACAACAUCUUCCAUCGGCACAAAUUUCAUUUGGUCUCCACAUGACAGGGAUGCACUUAUUGACCUCUUUUCCUCUUUUAAGAAUCGAAAAGGUAGGCUGCCAAACACGAGCGAGAGAAGGAAGAUCAUUACUCAUGCUGUUUUUCAAGAUCAAAAAUGUUAUGAAGAUGGGAGAGUUUUAAACAAAGUGAAGUCCUUAAAAAGACAAUGCAAAGAACUGCACAAGAAGAGAAGACGUCUUACUCCCUCUGAAUCUCGUCUCUAUGAACGUCUGAACCAAAUCUGGCCAGCCUAAAGUUUAUUGGACGAAUUGGAGCAACUUCUUAAAGGAAUUGGCUAUGAUGAUAGCCGGCCCAUCAAUUGCAUUGAUGAAGGAGGGCUAAUCAACAUAGCAGGUUUAUUUUGGGUGCUUGGCUUCUUUGGAAACACCGAAACGCUUGUGUGUUUGAAGGAGACCGCCCAAAUUUGGACAGGUUACUGCAGGCGUUCAAGGAUGAACACCACUUGUGGUGUCUGGCAGGGGCUCGAAGCCUCAGCUCCUUGAGUGCUGGUCAAGUGUUCGGACUAGGCUAGUUCCUAGUCCUUGUUAGUGGUCUCGGGUCAAGCUUUUGUUUUUUUCUUAGGCAACAACAUCAUAGUGUAUCACAGCCCCUCACAGCUCGGCUCAGAGUGAGGUGUGCUAGUUUGUAAGGGGCCGGUUUAUUCUCUCUAUUAAUACAAAGAUACGCAGCUCUCCUGCGUAUUCGAGAAAA